RNAcentral lists this small RNA (872 nucleotides) under Nakaseomyces nivariensis. Its description in RNAcentral is "[Candida] nivariensis partial ribonuclease P RNA". The record is from RNAcentral. Lineage: Eukaryota; Fungi; Ascomycota; Saccharomycetes; Saccharomycetales; Saccharomycetaceae.
GUGUGGAAUUUUGUGGGGCAGGGUAAGUUCUCUGCACAAUAAGGAAGCGAGGUCUAUUCUCUGCGGGUGGUCUUCGUCAUCCAUUUUCACGUCGUUUCGCAUCUCCUACUUUUCUUGACAGUCAAUUCGCGUAGGCGGAGAGUUGUUGGGUACAUUGGCAUGAGUGAGGUACUGUACGUAGCUUUCAGUGGAGGUAAUGCUUUGGAAGAGAAAAAUGGUGAAGCACAGAGUUGGCAGAGGAAGUGUCUAAGGGAAGUAAGUAUUGUAUCUUAGAACGACCGUGAGGACGGCGCGGGGGAACCCAGCUGGUAAGUUCUAGAUAUUAGUACAGAUUCCUUUGGUUUUCUUUCUUUGUCAUUUUCUGUGUUUCGUCUCUUUCAAUUUCAAAAUACUAUCUUGCUGUAGCUCUACGGUAUUUUCUCUGUCAUGUCCUUUCUACGUUUGAUUCUCAACGCUGAGUUGUUGCCGGGAAAUAGUGGGAGAUAAUGACGGGGGAGAGUUUGUUUGACUGCAGUGUGUUCUGUGUGUGUGCGAUUGUUUUCUACAUCAUGUGUGCGUAUCGCUGUUAUAAGAAAUAACUCUUGCGAAGGUUUCUUCGUGGGAUUGGGAAAGGCAGCGGAUGAAGCACUUUGUAGUGGUAAACAACCUGUACGACAGCUUCGGCUCAUGUGGAGCAACGCUCGUAGUGAAGUAUAAUUCUUCUCCGUUUGAGAUGAUGGGAUAGAGUGGUGAAACAUUCGCGUGAUUGAUUUCGUUUCAUGUGUAUUGGUUUGCUUUAUUCCCCCUUGAUUUCGCCGGUUUAGCUCGUUUCAAGGUACGUGUUUCACGUGCUGGGUAUGGCGAGGCUUCGUUCAGUGCAAUGUAGGACUCUC